CCUUCGAUAGCUCAGUUGGUAGAGCGGAGGACUGUAGGUGUAUCUAGUAGAGAUCCUUAGGUCGCUGGUUCGAAUCCGGCUCGAAGGA
This 88-nucleotide transfer RNA is filed under the name Oreochromis niloticus (Nile tilapia). It matches the Rfam family "tRNA". Rfam says of the family: Transfer RNA (tRNA) molecules are approximately 80 nucleotides in length. The record is from Rfam by way of RNAcentral. RNAcentral also lists the same sequence under 1 other name. Lineage: Eukaryota; Metazoa; Chordata; Actinopteri; Cichliformes; Cichlidae.